This 378-nucleotide ribosomal RNA is filed under the name uncultured bacterium. RNAcentral describes it as "partial 16S ribosomal RNA". It matches the Rfam family "Bacterial small subunit ribosomal RNA", at positions 338 to 733 of the family's 1533-position model. The record is from RNAcentral.
CCUACGGGUGGCAGCAGUGGGGAAUAUUGCACAAUGGGGGAAACCCUGAUGCAGCAACGCCGCGUGAGUGAAGAAGUAUCUCGGUAUGUAAAGCCCCAUCAGCAGGGAAGCAGAUGACGGUACCUGAGUAAGAAGCCCCGGAUAACUACGUGCCAGCAGCCGCGGUAAUAAGUAGGGGGCAAGCGUUAUCCGGAUUUACUGGGUGUAAAGGGGGCGCAGUAGGUGAGACAAGUCUGACGUGAAAGCGCGGGGCUCAACCCCCGGACUGCGUUGGAAACUGCCUGACUGGAGUGCUGGAGAAGUAUGCGGAAUGCCUGGUGUAGCGGUGAAAUGCAUAGAUAUUAGGAAGAACACCAGUGGCGAAGGCGGCUUGCUGGA